Molecule: ribosomal RNA, 508 nt
Filed under: uncultured bacterium
Lineage: Bacteria
Description: bacterial SSU rRNA
Rfam family: Bacterial small subunit ribosomal RNA
Source: RNAcentral
UAGUCCACGCCGUAAACGAUGAUUACUAGUUGGUGGGUUGCUUGCCGACUCACUGACGAAGCUAACGCAUUAAGUAAUCCGCCUGGGGAGUACGGCCGCAAGGUUAAAACUCAAAGAAAUUGACGGGGGCCCGCACAAGCGGUGGAGUAUGUGGUUUAAUUCGAUGCAACGCGAAGAACCUUACCUGGUCUUGACAUCCCGCGCAAUCCUGUGAAAGCAGGAGUUCCUUCGGGACGCGGUGACAGGUGCUGCAUGGCUGUCGUCAGCUCGUGUCGUGAGAUGUUGGGUUAAGUCCCGCAACGAGCGCAACCCUUGCCGUUAGUUGCCAGCAUGUAAAGAUGGGAACUCUAACAAGACUGCCGGUGCAAACCGUGAGGAAGGUGGGGAUGACGUCAAAUCAUCACGGCCCUUACGUCCUGGGCUACACACGUGCUACAAUGGUAGGUACAGAGAGCAGCCACUACGCGAGUAGGAGCGAAUCUAUAAAACCUAUCACAGUUCGGAUCGG